This is a long non-coding RNA of Bradysia coprophila, 917 nucleotides long. NCBI's taxonomy places the organism in Eukaryota, Metazoa, Arthropoda, Insecta, Diptera, Sciaridae. The record is from RefSeq and is a predicted model, not a curated record.
UUUGUUUUUGAAUUUGUUUUAGUUAGUGCAAAAGGUCGUGUAUAGUUUCUUAACUAAAUAACCUAAGUAUUCGAACGCACAAGAAGAAAGCAGAGAACUGGAAUAAGAAAUGUAGUGGAACCGAUGAUAAACUAGUCGAAUUUUGGGUAAAUAAAGAUCGUACGUGAACCGCUUGAGAACUAGAGAAUGGUCACCUGUGGUCCAGGCAUACCCAACUUUAAAUGGAAUUAUAAUUCGGGACACAUGUGUUCAAAUGUAACAUUUGCGGGAGCGAAACGCAAGACGAAUUUUCGUGUUUAUUUGGUUCAAAAUUACAUUCGUUCCUCGUUAAUCUCGCUAACGUGUCGUAGCGAGACGCAAGCCUAAUUUUUUGUGUUUAUUCGGUUCAAAAUUACAUUCGUUCCUCGUUAAUCUCGCUAACGCGCCUUAGCGAGACGCAAGACGAAUUUUUUGUGUUUAUUCGGUUCAAAAUUACAUUCGUUCCUCGUUUAUCUCGCUAACGCGCCUUAGCGAGACGCAAGUCGAAUUUUUUGUGUUUAUUCGGUUCAAAAUUACAUUCGUUCCUCGUUUAUCUCGCUAACGCGCCUUAGCGAGACGCAAGUCGAAUUUUCAUGUUUCUUCUUUCAUGUAUAUAAUCGACAUUAAACACUGUUUUUCGGACCGAGCAUUAAUUCUGUCAUAGUGUACAAUAUGCGUGACGUCAUAAUUACCUAGAUUUCAAAAGCCUUCCUUAAUACAUCGAUAAGUUGGCCGUUUGCGCCAAUGCAAUAAAACAUUCUAAGGUACCAGUAAAUAUUGUACGUGUUGCACUCGUGUUUUGUGUACUAUACACGAGUGUAUAACGCUCACAAUAUAUACCGGUACCAUAAUGUACUAUUAAAUAUGUUGAAUCCAUUUACAAAUAUAAUUGAUGAUCA